GAGUUUGAUCAUGGCUCAGAUUGAACGCUGGCGGCAUGCCUUACACAUGCAAGUCGAACGGCAGCACGGGAGCUUGCUCCUGGUGGCGAGUGGCGAACGGGUGAGUAAUGCAUCGGAACGUAUCCUGGAGUGGGGGAUAACGUAGCGAAAGUCACGCUAAUACCGCAUAUUCUGUGAGCAGGAAAGCGGGGGACCUUCGGGUCUCGCGCUCUUGGAGCGGCCGAUGUCGGAUUAGCUAGUUGGUGAGGUAAAGGCUCACCAAGGCGACGAUCCGUAGCAGGUCUGAGAGGAUGAUCUGCCACACUGGAACUGAGACACGGUCCAGACUCCUACGGGAGGCAGCAGUGGGGAAUUUUGGACAAUGGGGGCAACCCUGAUCCAGCCAUGCCGCGUGAGUG
Molecule: ribosomal RNA, 398 nt
Filed under: bacterium enrichment culture clone ALO1_GLFRUDD03FRV5Q
Lineage: Bacteria
Description: bacterial SSU rRNA
Rfam family: Bacterial small subunit ribosomal RNA
Source: RNAcentral